RNAcentral lists this transfer RNA (88 nucleotides) under Cellulomonas oligotrophica. RNAcentral describes it as "tRNA-Arg". Lineage: Bacteria; Bacillati; Actinomycetota; Actinomycetes; Micrococcales; Cellulomonadaceae. The record is from RNAcentral.
GCUCGACGUCGGCGGCGUGCGUGCGGGCCGCGGGCCCGCGGUCGACGAGGCCGAGGAGAUCGCCCGGGUCGUGCCCGUCGUCGAGCGC